This 252-nucleotide ribosomal RNA is filed under the name Intestinibacter bartlettii DSM 16795. RNAcentral describes it as "partial 16S ribosomal RNA". It matches the Rfam family "Bacterial small subunit ribosomal RNA", at positions 524 to 776 of the family's 1533-position model. The record is from RNAcentral. Lineage: Bacteria; Bacillati; Bacillota; Clostridia; Peptostreptococcales; Peptostreptococcaceae.
UACGUAGGGGGCUAGCGUUAUCCGGAUUUACUGGGCGUAAAGGGUGCGUAGGCGGUCUUUUAAGUCAGGAGUGAAAGGCUACGGCUCAACCGUAGUAAGCUCUUGAAACUAGAGGACUUGAGUGCAGGAGAGGAGAGUGGAAUUCCUAGUGUAGCGGUGAAAUGCGUAGAUAUUAGGAGGAACACCAGUAGCGAAGGCGGCUCUCUGGACUGUAACUGACGCUGAGGCACGAAAGCGUGGGGAGCAAACAGG